RNAcentral lists this ribosomal RNA (883 nucleotides) under uncultured bacterium. RNAcentral's name for it is "bacterial SSU rRNA". It matches the Rfam family "Bacterial small subunit ribosomal RNA", at positions 1 to 924 of the family's 1533-position model. The record is from RNAcentral.
GCCCUUAGAGUUUGAUCCUGGCUCAGGAUGAACGCUGGCGGUAUGCUUUACGCAUGCAAGUCGUACGAGAGUUUUUAACUCAAGUGGCGGACGGGUGAGUAACACGUAAGAAUUUGCCUUUAGGAGGGGGAUAACAACUGGAAACGGUUGCUAAUACCCCAUAUGCUUUCGAGUAAAAUGGAUUUUCCGCCUAAAGAGAAGCUUGCGGCUGAUUAGCUUGUUGGUGAGGUAAUGGCUCACCAAGGCGACGAUCAGUAUCUGGUUUGAGAGGACGAUCAGACACACUGGAACUGAGACACGGUCCAGACUCCUACGGGAGGCAGCAGUGGGGAAUUUUCCGCAAUGGGCGAAAGCCUGACGGAGCAAUACCGCGUGAGGGAUGACGGCCUAUGGGUUGUAAACCUCUUUUUUCAGGGAGGAAUCAAUGACGUGUACCUGAAGAAUAAGCAUCGGCUAACUCCGUGCCAGCAGCCGCGGUAAGACGGAGGAUGCAAGUGUUAUCCGGAAUCACUGGGCGUAAAGCGUCUGUAGGUGGUCAAAUAAGUCAACUGUUAAAUCUUGAGGCUCAACCUCAAAAUCGCAGUCGAAACUAUUCGACUAGAGUAUAGUAGGGGUAAAGGGAAUUUUCCAGUGGAGCGGUGAAAUGCGUAGAGAUUGGAAAGAACACCGAUGGCGAAAGCACUUUACUGGGCUAUUACUAACACUGAGAGACGAAAGCUAGGGUAGCAAAUGGGAUUAGAUACCCCAGUAGUCCUAGCCGUAAACAAUGGAUACUAGAUGUUGAACAGAUCGACCUGUGCAGUAUCAAAGCUAACGCGUUAAGUAUCCCGCCUGGGAAGUAUGCUCGCAAGAGUGAAACUCAAAUGAAUUGACGGGGAAGGGC